CAGAGCUCCACAGUAAUAAUACUCCCAGUAAUGUGUCUGAGUGUAUAACUGAGCUCCACAGCAAUAAUACUCCCAGUAAUGUGUCUGAGUGUAUAACAGAGCUCCACAGCAAUAAUACUCCCAGUAAUGUGUCUGAGUGUAUAACAGAGCUCCACAGCAAUAAUACUCCCAGUAAUGUCUGAGUGUAUAACAGAGCUCCACAGCAAUAAUACUCCCAGUAAUGUGUCUGAGUGUA
Non-coding RNA from Pelobates cultripes (western spadefoot toad), 235 nucleotides. The record is from the annotation of a GenBank genome assembly. Lineage: Eukaryota; Metazoa; Chordata; Amphibia; Anura; Pelobatidae.